UUUAAUAUGGCAGAUUAAAGUGCAAUGGAYUUAAACUCCAUGUAUAAAGAAAUCCAYCAAUCUUUUAUUAAAU
Molecule: transfer RNA, 73 nt
Filed under: Sericomyrmex amabilis
Lineage: Eukaryota; Metazoa; Arthropoda; Insecta; Hymenoptera; Formicidae
Description: tRNA-Leu
Source: RNAcentral